Molecule: ribosomal RNA, 253 nt
Filed under: uncultured bacterium
Lineage: Bacteria
Description: partial 16S ribosomal RNA
Rfam family: Bacterial small subunit ribosomal RNA
Source: RNAcentral
UACGUAGGGGGCAAGCGUUGUCCGGAUUUAUUGGGCGUAAAGAGCGUGUAGGCGGCCACACAGGUCUGCUGUGAAAACUCGAGGCUCAACCUCGAGCUGUCGGUGGAAACCGUGUGGCUAGAGUCCGGAAGAGGAGAGUGGAAUUCCCGGUGUAGCGGUGAAAUGCGCAGAUAUCGGGAAGAGCACCCGUGGCGAAGGCGGCUCUCUGGGACGGUACUGACGCUGAGACGCGAAAGCGUGGGGAGCGAACAGG